CCCUUAGAUGUUCUGGGCCGCACGCGCGCUACACUGAUUCAUGCAACAAGUUUUGUCCUUGGCUGAUAGGCCCGGGUAAUCUUUGAACGUGAAUCGUGAUGGGGAUAGAUGAUUGCAAUUAUUCAUCUUCAACGAGGAAUUCCUAGUAAACGCAAGUCAUCAGCUUGCAUUGAUUACGUCCCUGCCCUUUGUACACACCGCCCGUCGCACCUACCGAUUGAAUGGUCCGGUGAAAUCUUCGGAUCUGAGAGAUGUCUGAUUAAUUUCGGACGCCUUUUGGAAAAGUUGUUUAAACCUUACCAUUUAGAGGAAGGUGAAGUCGUAACA
RNAcentral lists this ribosomal RNA (327 nucleotides) under uncultured eukaryote. RNAcentral's name for it is "partial 18S ribosomal RNA". It matches the Rfam family "Eukaryotic small subunit ribosomal RNA", at positions 1470 to 1796 of the family's 1831-position model. The record is from RNAcentral.